UACGGGGGGGGCAAGCGUUGUUCGGAAUUACUGGGCGUAAAGGGCUCGUAGGCGGCCAACUAAGUCAGACGUGAAAUCCCCAGGCUUAACCUGGGAACUGCGUCUGAUACUGGAUGGCUUGAAUCCGGGAGAGGGAUGCAGAAUUCCAGGUGUAGCGGUGAAAUGCGUAGAUAUCUGGAGGAAUACCGGUGGCGAAGGCGGCAUCCUGGACCGGCAUUGACGCUGAGGAGCGAAAGCUAGGGGAGCAAACAGG
RNAcentral lists this ribosomal RNA (253 nucleotides) under uncultured bacterium. RNAcentral describes it as "partial 16S ribosomal RNA". It matches the Rfam family "Bacterial small subunit ribosomal RNA", at positions 524 to 776 of the family's 1533-position model. The record is from RNAcentral.